Non-coding RNA from Macaca mulatta (Rhesus monkey), 1963 nucleotides. The record is from RefSeq and is a predicted model, not a curated record. NCBI's taxonomy places the organism in Eukaryota, Metazoa, Chordata, Mammalia, Primates, Cercopithecidae.
GCCAGCCAGAUCCCGGAAGCCGCCCUCUCCUUUCCGGCGGUGCGCCUGAUUGACAGGUCCCCACCCCCAGCGCCCCUGAUUGUAUGGGGCUUCAGGCCCCGCCCCCUCAGGCCCUGAGUGACAGGAGAUUGCGAUCUCACGUGAGGCUGGAUGUGGCCAGAAUGACCGUUUUGGCCUAGCGGUUUGUAGGGGGGAGACAGGAGACAUCAAUCAACAUAUGUAAGAUGAACACUGGUUUGAUCUGGUACAACCUGAAGCAAAAGUGGGUCAACUCGAAGCCAGGAGGGGGCUUCCAGGUCACAGAAACGGGGGUCUCCCUCGGUUGCCAAGGCUGUCUCUGGUGCCCAACGCAGGGCUCCCCGUAAUCUCUACAAAUAAUCCAGUGAAGGAACACCAGAGCGUGGAAAGCUGAGGACGACCGACAAAGGACUCCCGAGUAGGUUUUCACUUCAAGCUCUAGGGUAAGGAGGGCGCUCGGGGAAUUCCAGGGAAACCUCGGGAAAAUGUGGGUCGAGCUGACAGUAAGUUCGCUAAUUACUUAAGCCUUGUGCAGCAGUUACUGCGCCGCGGAGGGGUAAUUGUCAGCACCCAAAAUCUCACAUCUUUGUUCCGUCUGGUAGACAAGUAUUCUCCUUGGUUCCUGGAAUAUGGAAUCAUGAAUGUAGAAGAUUGGGACAAGGUGGGGUCAGACUUAAAACGAGCACAACAAGUGGGCCGCGAUAUUCCCGUCUCUGCUUGGUCUGUGUGGUCUGCAAUUAAAACAGCCCUGGAGCCCUUCCACACUGAGGAGGAGAAGGAGGAUUUUCAGGAUGACAUUGGAAAGUUGAGUAAUCAGGAGUCUAAUUAUCAGCUAAGUGAACCAUGACAGUCUCGUUUAAAAAAGGGCGAGAAACGGGAAGGUAUGUAUGCUAAUCUCCAGAGACUUAUAAAAGAAACUGUGCCACCUACUGCGCCUUUAGGGGAAGGUCUGGAAUGGCCACCCCCAGGCCAGCCUCCUGAAUAUUUGGAAGGGGAGCCUGGGACCCGCGCCUUGCCGCUCCCAUCGUUGCAGGCCCCGCCAGUAACUAUGGCGAAGGGAAGCUUCAGGCUUGUCCAACAGCCAAUUAGGAUGAGGGAAUGAUCCAGGCUUGCCCACCUGUUAGUUAUGGUAGAGGAGUGCUGCGAGCGGGUCCAAAUACAAAUAUGGCACAGGGACAAUCCAGUCAUCCAUUCGCCAGGCACAAGAAAUGGGGGAUUUGAAUGCUUGGCAGUUUCUGGUAAUUAUUUCACCAGCUGAGGAGGCCAGAGAACUUACUCAAGCAUGCUGGGAGCCAUUUCCUUUUAAAAUAUUAAAAGACUUAAAGCAAGCAAUUGGACAAUAUGGGCCAAAUUCCCCUUAUGUUCAUUCCUUGUUACAAUGUGUGGCUUAUAACAGACGCUGAAUACCUAUGGAUUGGGAGGCACUAGCCCUUCCACUUUCCACCAUGAGGUGAAAAAGACUGAGACUCCACCAGAUGCAACUGCCCAAUCUCAGACAUUCCAGCCACCAAUAUUGUGAGCCAAAAGGACCUUUUUUUACUUAUAAAUUACCCAGCCUCAGGUAUUCUGUUACAGAAGCACAAAACAGACUAAGACACAAAUGUAUGAAAAAACUCACUGAAGGUGUAGGGAAAAUGUGUUGACCUAAGUCACUUUGAAAAUGAAUAGAAUCCGUAUGCUGAAGGCAAAUGAACUAUACUUCAUCACUGGAUUCCAUUUUAUAAAGUUCUUUCCAACAGAAGCAAUUGUGAACAAUUGUAAAACCACAGUAUCUGUAUCUGGAAUAAAGCAAUGACUUACAUAAGUCACAGAUGGUAGGAACCAGGUUUCUCACUGUUGAAGUGGGAGGUUACAAAUUAGCAAGGGGAGAAGGCUAGAAUGAUUCAUGUGAUAGUAGAUCAGAGGUGGAGACAUGAAUGUAAACUUAUGUUUAGUUUAAUAUAGA